Molecule: ribosomal RNA, 490 nt
Filed under: uncultured bacterium
Lineage: Bacteria
Description: partial 16S ribosomal RNA
Rfam family: Bacterial small subunit ribosomal RNA
Source: RNAcentral
AUUGAACGCUGGCGGCAGGCCUAACACAUGCAAGUCGAAUGGUAACAGGAAACAGCUUGCUGUUUCUCUGACGAGUGGCGGACGGGUGAGUAAUGUCUGGGAAACUGCCUGAUGGAGGGGGAUAACUACUGGAAACGGUAGCUAAUACCGCAUAACGUCGCAAGACCAAAGAGGGGGACCUUCGGGCCUCUUGCCAUCAGAUGUGCCCAGAUGGGAUUAGCUAGUAGGUGGGGUAACGGCUCACCUAGGCGACGAUCCCUAGCUGGUCUGAGAGGAGGACCAGCCACACUGGAACUGAGACACGGUCCAGACUCCUACGGGAGGCAGCAGUGGGGAAUAUUGCACAAUGGGCGCAAGCCUGAUGCAGCCAUGCCGCGUGUAUGAAGAAGGCCUUCGGGUUGUAAAGUACUUUCAGCGGGGAGGAAGGGAGUAAAGUUAAUACCUUUGCUCAUUGACAUUACCCGCAGAAGAAGCACCGGCUAACUCCGUG